RNAcentral lists this long non-coding RNA (504 nucleotides) under Felis catus (domestic cat). RNAcentral describes it as "lncRNA (ENSFCAG00000041300.2)". Lineage: Eukaryota; Metazoa; Chordata; Mammalia; Carnivora; Felidae. The record is from RNAcentral.
GUGUGUACUCAGAAACUCGUAAGAAAAAUAUUUGCGCAAAGGAUAUACUUUCCAAAUAUUUACUGAUUGUUUUUGAUUUCCAUCUAAGGUAAAGGCAGGUGUGUUCCUAUCCUGAAGCAUGGUGUAGGUGAAGGCCUGCUUUUCACUAAAUGUUUGCCAUGUUUGCCAAAUAGGCUUGGUUACCCACCACCCCUAUGCCUCUGGUUACCCCAGUCUGGGCCUGACAAGUAAAGCUUUUGAAAAAAUGACCACGGUUCUGAACAAAGCCUGUUGUUGCAGUUACAUUUCAGAAUUCUACAUGAGGUUUGCAAUCAUCUUCUGACAUCUUCAAGAUCCUGUGUAUUCCCUUGGAGAGACAUCGUUCUUUACAGAUCUCAUAGACAAAGACCAAGUAAAAUAACACCAUUUCACUCUACAAAACUUCAUGUUAGCACACAAUUACUUCUGAAGUCUGCCUUGACUGAUUAGAAUAAAGUUGGUAAUUCAAUCCUUUAUAUAUAGCUC